CCAGUUCCAGCCAGGUAUGAAAUACUCAGCUUCUUUUCCUAAUUACUUUUGAUUUUUUCCUUUGAACGUGCUCAAUCUUUUGUUUCUCAUAAAAACCCAGCUUCUUGUAAAGUCUUUUUUCACUUUUCCCCCUCCUUUUUCGUUCUUUAUUUGUUUUAAUGGUUAUUGGUUAAUGCAUGCUUUCGCCUAACACAAUUCCUUGACUAGUUGAGGAGAAUGGAUAUUUGUUUUCUUCGAGUGUUUUCUAAUUCUAUAUAGCACGGGCACCUUGUUGGACAUGAAUGAAUAUACUAUUUUAGGAGAAUGUUAAACAAUGUCUCCGGAGCAUUGGUUAAUCAACCACAAAAUAAAAAAGUUGUGUAGUUAUUACUUAAUCAAAAGUUAAAACUUUUAUUUUCAAGACAAAUCUAUUUAUAUUUUAUUUUCUCCUUUCAUACGUCUCGAUGUCGGUGUCUGACUUGUCUCGUGUUGUCCAACAUGUGUCGAUGUCUAACAUGCUUAGUAUACGACAUAUAUCGUUGUCUAACAUUCGUACUAUACAACAUCUGACGAAUAACUAAGACAAGUGUCUCAAGAAUCCCAUAUUUCUUCUUUACUUCGGCAUAUUUAUAGACAUAUUAUAUAUGAAGCUUAAAGAUGUAUAUCAAAUUAAUAAUGAUCGAUUAGAGAGUUAAACUAACCUAAAGACUACUCUUUCCAUUUCAAAUAUAAGCAAAGAUUGUUUUUGUCUAACAUGUGUACUUGUCUAACAUGCCUAGUAUACCACAUCUAUUGUUGUCUAGCAUUCAUGGUAUACAACAUCUGACGAAUAACUCUAACAAGUAUCUCAAGAAUCCCUUAUUUCUUCUUUGCUUAGACAUAUUUCAUAGUCAUAGACAUAUUAUAUUUAUAUAUGAAGUUUAGAGAUGUAUAUCAAAUUAAUAAAGCUUAAUUGCAGUUUUGGUCCUCUAAGUAUCACAAUCUUGCGAUUUUGAUCCCUUAUAAAAAACAAUAACAAAUCAACCCUCUAAGUUUAUCCCCUUUUGCACUUUUGGCCUCCCGGACCAAUUUUGACUAGGUCAAUGCAUAUGUGGCACCGAUAUCACUUUAUUUAUUAGGCUUAAUUGCAGUCUUAGCCCCCUAAGUAUCAUAAUCUUGCGAUUUUGGCCCCCUAAAAAAAUAGAAAGUCACACGUGGCACCUCACUUUAAGUGGUGUGGGUGCCACGUAUGUAUUGACUUGGUCAAAAUUAACCUGGGGGCCAAAAAUGCAAUAGAGGGCAAACUCAGAGAGCUGGUUUGUUAUUAUUUUAUAGGGGACCAAAAUCACAACAUUGUGAUACUUAGGGGGCCAAAACUGCAAUCAAGCGAAUUAAUAAUGAUCAAUUAGAGAGUAAAACUAACCUAAAGACUAUUCUUUCAAUUUCAAAUAUAAGCAAAAAUUGUUUUUUCAAUUUCAUUGAAUAACUGAUGUAUUUAGUCUAUAUUAUAAAUUAGAUACAUUAAUUAUUCAACAAAUCUGAAGAAAAAAUAUUUGCUUAUAUUUAAGAUUAGAGGGAGUAAUAUUUGUUUGGACACAUAGGAAGCAAUAUUUACUAAUGUUAGUCGUUCAAGAUAAAAAUAAAAAAAUGCUCAGUUUAAAUGGCAGUCAAAGGGUGACAAUAUAGUUGAGAUGUCUUGCUUUUAUCAUGUGAUGCAUUUGCGCUUCAGAGUGUUGUCAACAUAGGUAAUGUAAGGGUUCAGUUUGAAUAGACUAGGCGUUAAAGUUUAGUAUAUUGCAAUUUUGAUUGUUUAACCACCACCAUUAUUUUGGAUAGGUUCCCGUCGCGUGAGAAUCUUUUAAAGCGGGGGGUUUAGUGGAUCUUACGAGUGCUUAAUGUCAAUUAUGUGGGAGUAGUGUCGAAUUUGCGGAUCAUCUUUUUGUUACUUGUUGGGUGGUGUCUAGGGUUUGGUACUUGGUGUGUAAGUGGCUAGGGUUUGAGUGGGUUUUGCCGGGGAAUUUGGUCGGAUUGUUUCAGAUGUUCGUAGCUUUAGGGUGUGAUAGAAAGACUAGGCUAGGGUGUAUUUUGGUCUAGCAUACAUCUAUGUGGUCUAUCUGAAAAGCUUGGAACAACCUUAUUUUUUCUGGUAGGAUUCCCGAGCUCGAGCAAUUGGUGGAUAAGAUCCAAAUCAUGUCUUAGAAGUGGUUCCUUGGGAGACACCCUUUGUGCCACUAUUCCUAUUAUGAGUGGAAGGUGGAACCCCUCUUUUGUUGGCGCCAAUAGUGUGCGAAGUGGAGGUCAGAGAUGGAUCUGACAUGUGUUGUGGGUGGGGCUAGGCUUUCAUUUUCUCUCUGGUGGGGAGAGUCCUCUUCGCUUUGCUACCUUUUUGGUGCUAGGUGGGAGUGGGUCUCUUUGGAGCUUCGAGGGUCUUUCUUGACCCCUAGCCUUUUUUGUUGUAGUUUGUGGUGUAUUUUUAUUUUUGUUUUGGAGUAUUGGUGAUAUCAGCUGAUUCUCGUGUUGUUCCCUUUCGGUGUUAAGCCGUUUUUGGUUUUAAUAUAUGUUUUUACCAUUAAAAAAAAUGAUAUUUGCACAAACCAUUUUGGUACAACAUUUGUACAACUUUCUCUCUCAUACUUAUAUUAUGUUUUAAUUCUCUCUCUCUCUCUCUCUUCCUUUUUCUCUCUCUAUUGUUUUUGACCAAUGAUAAGAGAGAACAACAAAGUUGUCUCAAAAGUUGUACCAAAAUGGUCGUAAAAAACCACUUUUUCAUUUGAUUAAGAUGAAUAUGAUUAGCAGAACACGCAGGACAAAACUGAGACAAAUAUGACUAUGAGCCAUAUUACCAGCAGCGGCAGUAAUAGUCCUUCAUAUGACAAUAUGCCUAACUCAAAUCAGCACCACCAAUAACCAUCAAUGUUUCAAUGGCCUUAUAACCCUCAAUAUGCCACACAAACAUCAUGGACACAGUUACCGCAUCCACAGCAAGGACACCCAACAUUGCCCUUUUGGCCACCUCAACAGUUUGGAGCAAAUAUCCCUCCCAUUUUUCAG
RNAcentral lists this long non-coding RNA (3009 nucleotides) under Medicago truncatula (barrel medic). RNAcentral's name for it is "long non-coding RNA (MTRU_LNC002801)". The record is from RNAcentral. Lineage: Eukaryota; Viridiplantae; Streptophyta; Magnoliopsida; Fabales; Fabaceae.